Molecule: ribosomal RNA, 465 nt
Filed under: uncultured bacterium
Lineage: Bacteria
Description: partial 16S ribosomal RNA
Rfam family: Bacterial small subunit ribosomal RNA
Source: RNAcentral
GACGAACGCUGGCGGCGUGCUUAACACAUGCAAGUCGAACGGAAAGGCCCCUUUGGGGGUACUCGAGUGGCGAACGGGUGAGUAACACGUGAGUAACCUGCCCUUGACUUCGGGAUAACUUCAGGAAACUGGGGCUAAUACCGGAUAGGAAUCCUUGCUGCAUGGUGGGGGUUGGAAAGCUUCGGCGGUUUUGGAUGGACUCGCGGCUUAUCAGCUUGUUGGUGGGGUAGUGGCUUACCAAGGCUUUGACGGGUAGCCGGCCUGAGAGGGCGACCGGCCACAUUGGGACUGAGAGACGGCCCAGACUCCGACGGGAGGCAGCAGUGGGGAAUAUUGCACAAUGGGCGGAAGCCUGAUGCAGCAACGCCGCGUGCGGGAGGACGGCCUUCGGGUUGUAAACCGCUUUCAGCAGGGGCGAAGCUUGUGGUGACGGUACCUGCAGAAGAAGCACCGGCUAACUACGUG